This 95-nucleotide transfer RNA is filed under the name Streptomyces chryseus. Its description in RNAcentral is "tRNA-Arg". Lineage: Bacteria; Bacillati; Actinomycetota; Actinomycetes; Kitasatosporales; Streptomycetaceae. The record is from RNAcentral.
GGCGGCGUGGGCGGGGCGGGAGGACCGGGCGGCUGCGGGCCGUCGGGGCCCAGCGCCGAGACGAGCUGCGUCGGUACGUAACCACCCGCCGGCGC